AUGGUUGAAAGACGAUCUCGCGAUCGUCCAGUGGUUCUACACCCGCAUCACCACCGAGAUCUUCAACAUGCUCGAUCACGACGGCGCCACCGCUGCCAACAUCUGGCACUCCUCCGUCAGCUCUUCCAAAGCAACACCGACGCUCAGAAAAACGCUCUCCACACCGAGCUUCGCAAUAUGGUGCAAGGAGACGCCCCGGUGAACCUGUUUUGCCAGCGCGUUAAGACCAUUGGUGAUGAGCUCCGCGAACUCGGCGAUACAGUUAGCGACUCACAGCUAAUCAAUAUCGUCGUCGGCCUCAGCGAAGACUUUGACAAGCAAGCCUCGUUCAUACCGAUGAUACGGCCCCCUCCUACCUUCGCUGAAGUUCGUUCCUUGCUACAACUCGCGGCGGAAACACAAGCUCGCAAGGACUCUCGCCCCAAGGUCUUUCAUGCUGCGGCUCAUCCUCCUCUGUCGUCUACACCAGCGCCGCCUUCCAGGCCGGCUCCUGCCGCCGGGCCGUUCGCAUCGUCAUCUGUUCAACCGCCCCCGGCUGGCGUCCUAGUCCAAACUACCGCGGCAAAAACCCUAUCUACAGGCCGCCGGCGACUCGUUCGGUUCCGCCUACGACAUCACCAGCACCGAGUCCUGCACCACCCACUAUUGCUCCAUCUGCGGUUGCAUGGCGGCCUCCUCAUGAUCUUUGGACGGGGCUUGUUCAAGCAUGGCCCAUGCCCUGGUCCGCUCCGUCCACCCUCGGUGCUCCGCCGGCAUACUCAGGUGCCUGGCAACCCGGCCUUCGGCCGCCUACUGGUGCUCCCGGGGUUCUCAACCCCCAACAGCCGGCCAAUGCCUAUCACGCCGCCCCGACGUAUGUUCCUUAUAGUCAUUACAGCACCGACGGCGGCGCCUACUACACACCUCAGCCGGCCCUGCUCCCGACGCCACCCCCACCACAGUCGGCCAAUGCCUACUACACUCCCCAGCCGGCCCUACUGCCUUCACCAUCGUAUCCGCCGGCACUGCUUCCGACGCCACCCUCACCUGCGACGCCGAGCUGGGAUCAAGCUGCCUUUCUCCAGGCCAUGA
RNAcentral lists this ribosomal RNA (1071 nucleotides) under Triticum aestivum (bread wheat). RNAcentral describes it as "partial small subunit ribosomal RNA". The record is from RNAcentral. Lineage: Eukaryota; Viridiplantae; Streptophyta; Magnoliopsida; Poales; Poaceae.